GUUACUGUUCCCACCAGGUUACUGUUCCCACUAUGUUACUGUUCCCACCAGGUUACUGUUCCCACUAUGUUACUGUUCCCACCAGGUUACUGUUCCCACCAGGUUACUGUUCCCACCAGGUUACUGUUCCCACUAUGUUACUGUUCCCACCAGGUUACUGUUCCCACUAUGUUACUGUUCCCACUAUGUUACUGUUCCCACCAGGUUACUGUUCCCACCAGGUUACUGUUCCCACUAUGUUACUGUUCUCACCAGGUUACUGUUCCCACUAUGUUACUGUUCCCACUAUGUUACUGUUCCCACUAUGUUACUGUUCUCACCAGGUUACUGUUCCCACCAGGUUACUGUUCCCACUAUGUUACUGUUCCCACUAUGUUACUGUUCCCACUAUGUUACUGUUCCCACUAUGUUACUGUUCCCACUAUGUUACUGUUCCCACUAUGUUACUGUUCCCACCAUGUUACUGUUCCCACUAUGUUACUGUUCCCACUAUGUUACUGUUCCCACUAUGUUACUGUUCCCACCAUGUUACUGUUCCCACUAUGUUACUGUUCCCACUAUGUUACUGUUCCCACCAUGUUACUG
Long non-coding RNA from Oncorhynchus tshawytscha (Chinook salmon), 585 nucleotides. Lineage: Eukaryota; Metazoa; Chordata; Actinopteri; Salmoniformes; Salmonidae. The record is from Ensembl.